CCUCUGUCUCUAGUGAUGUGACUACCCUCCAUCUUGCCACACAUCCAACGCAACAUCCCACUCUAAUAAACUCUUAAGCUAUCAAAAUAAAACUUUCUAAUAACCAUGUCCAAAUACUAGAAGUUCGCUUUCAUUUUUAUUUUUCUGUUCAACACUACAUUACAUAAAGGUCUAGGUCCCAAAACUAAUAAGGCUCUGUUUGGUAAAAAUAGCGGAUAGCUGAUAAGCUAGCUGAUAGCUUUUAGCUGAUAAGCUAACUGAAGUGUUUGGUAAAAACAGCGGUUCAACUAGCUGAUAAAUGUAAAAUGACAUAAAGGGUAUUCUUAAUUCAUAAUAAAAAUUAUAUCAUUAAUUUAAGUAUUUGUAAUUUUGUAAACUAAUUUCUUUAAAAAAAAUACUUUAAAUUUAUUAAUUUAAUAUAUCCUAUGUAUUAUAAAUUAAAUUAAAUUUUAUUCACUAAAAUUUUAUCUUAUAUUUAUUAUCAUUUAAGUGUUUCCACUUUAUAAAAAAAAUAACAUUUACCUCAAAAACAAAAAAAAAGGUAGCACUAAUAGAGUAAUACUAAUAACAGAGAAUAAAGAAAAUAACACUUACCUCAAAAAAAAUAAAAAAAAGGAACACUAAUAGAACAAUAGUAUUUUGUUUCGUAAAAAAAAUGAAGGUAUAUAUUUUUUCAAAAAAAAAAAAAAAAAGGUCAGCUGAUAUAUUUACAAAAAUUGAAAUAAAGGGAUAGUAGUCUUUAUUACGUAGCUUAUUAUAAAAAUUAUAAUGGAUAAAAAUACAAUUUAAAUGAAAUAAUAAGGGUAAAAUUGGAAGAAAAAGUGAGAAGCUAUAAGCUAUAAGCUCAAACGCUACUUGGAAUAGCUUCUGAAAAAUAGCUUAUAAGCUCGUGAAAUAAGCUAUAAGCUCAUGGUGAAAAAGUGUUACCAAACAGAGCUUUUUUUGUCAAACGAGCUUAUAAGCUAUAAGCUAAAAGCUAAAAGCUACUUUUUGGGUUAACCAAACAGAGCCUAAGUAUUAACAAGAACAUCAACAGUGGUGAGUGCCUCAA
RNAcentral lists this long non-coding RNA (1051 nucleotides) under Medicago truncatula (barrel medic). RNAcentral's name for it is "long non-coding RNA (MTRU_LNC005500)". Lineage: Eukaryota; Viridiplantae; Streptophyta; Magnoliopsida; Fabales; Fabaceae. The record is from RNAcentral.